GCUCCUCUGUUAAAUUUGAAGGAUUUAGUUCCAUAUCAACUAGUGUGAUCAGUUCUUUGGGAAAGUAACGCCCUCAUUUAGGUGUCUCCUAAACUCAUUUAAAACUUGUCACACGGAUAUAAACCAGCCAGUGCCAGGAUGGAUGGAUCGAGCAACACAGAGCCACAGUUGCACUUGUUUCCACUGUUCCACGUCUUCCUCCUUUUUGGGUCAUUCCUCUAUUUCAGUGGAGCGUGACUUCCAUUUACUGAGAAGGGAUGCCCGAGAGAUAAAUUUUGUGAAAAAUGGAGGUCUGAAAAUCUUUUUAUUCUAUCUUGCUUUUGGCUGUGACUCAUUAAGAAUUCUAGCAAAGAUCCUGAUUUAAUUCGUGUCAGUGGAGCUCACUUUUUUUAAAAAUAAAUAAUUGUAUUAUGAAGGCAGAAUUGGGAGUAACUGCUCCAGAGUAAUUCAAAGUGUCUCCAUAGUGAUUUUUUGGAUAAAUCUCAAUUUAUUCUCUUUGAAAGACUAUCCUUUAUUCUGAAAGUAUCCUUCUUGCUCCUUUUGAACUGUCUGCCCUUUUAUGAAACUGACAGGAGUUCCCUGGUGGUUUUGUGGUUAAGGAUCUAGCAUGGUCACUGCUGUGGUGUGGGUUUGAUCCCGGGCCUAGGAACUUCUGCAUGCUGCUGCUGGCGUGGCUGAAAAAACAAAAAAUGAAAGUGACUGUAGAUGUCAGGUUUGCUUGUUUUGUUUGCCUAUCUUCUUAUUUGACAAAAUAAAAAGCCCCCAAAUUUAAACUGUGUAUUACUGGUCUAUGAAAUCUAAAAGUCUGGGACCUACAUUUCCUGAUGCAUGGGCACUGAUAAAUACUUUUUUUUUUUUUUUCUGUCUUUUUAGGGCCACACCCUCGGCAUAUGGAGGUUCCCAGGCUAGGGGUCAAAUCAGAGCUGCAGCUUCCAGCCUUCACCACAGCCCCAUUGAGGGAUCCAAGCCGCGUCUGCAAUUUAUACUGCAGCUCACAGCAAUGCUGGAUCCUUUAACCCACUGAGGCCGGGGAUUGAACACGAAUCUUCAUGGAUACUAGUCAGGUUUUUAACCUGCUGAGCCACAACAGAAACUCCCUGAUAAAUUCUUCUGAGUUGAUACCAGGACCUUUUUUUUUGUCUUCCAAAGACAAAAACCGGGGAGUUCCCAUCAUGGCUCAGCAGUUAACGAAUCUGACUAGCAUCCAUGAGGACGCAGGUUCGAUCCUGGGCCUUGCUCAGUGGGUUAAGGAUCUGGUGUUGCCACAAGCUGUGGUGUAGGUUGCAGAUGAGACUCAGAUCCCGUGUUGUCGUGGCUGUGGUGUAGGCCGGCGGCUACAGCUCUGAUUGGACCCCUAGCCUGGGAACCUUCAUAUGCUGCGAGUGCAGCCCUAAAAAGCAAAACAAACAAACCAAAAAAAUGGAAACAUGUUCAGCAAAAUAAAACUAAUCUCAAAACUUUUAUUUCAUAGAAUUUAAUGUUGACUUAAUGAAAAGUGACCUUUCUGUGCCACCUGUAUUCAUUAGUUUUGUGUAAGGUGAUGUUACCUGCAGAUUUGAGAGAUCCUGUUGUGGCUCAGCGGGUUAGGAACCCAGCCUAGGAUCCAUGAGGAUGUGGGUUUGAUCCCUGGCCUCACUCAGUGGGUUAAGGACCUGACGUUGCCACAGACUGUGGUGUAGUCACAGAUGUGGCUCUGAUCUGGUGUUGCUGUGGAUGUGGUGUAGACCAGCAGCUGCAGCUCCAGUUUGACCCCUAGCCCAAGGUACUUACUUACGUAUGUUUAGGUGCAGCCUUGAAAAGGAAAAAAAAAAAAAAAAAAAAAAAAAAAAAAAAAAA
RNAcentral lists this long non-coding RNA (1836 nucleotides) under Sus scrofa (pig). RNAcentral's name for it is "lncRNA (ENSSSCG00005023224.1)". Lineage: Eukaryota; Metazoa; Chordata; Mammalia; Artiodactyla; Suidae. The record is from RNAcentral.